GUUUUGACAAAGUUGUGGGAGAUUCCUCAUUGACACAGGUUAUAAAAUCAGGAGGGAAGAGAUAAAGCUGCACACACUUUCCCAGCUUUCCAGGCAGGAUGUCCACUUACUCUCAUCAGAGAGCUGAAUUUGGGAGUAACCAGAGCAUUUGCCUAAGGAUAUUCCACCCAUGGUGAAGCGCCCAAGGAGGUUGUGGCCUGCAGAUGUCUCAAAGAUAUUCAUAUACUACUGGGACUUGGCUGAAAAGUAAUAAUAGAUAUUCCUGCUCCCCUCUACUUCUUCCUGGUAUUAAGGAAGAGAAGCUUUGUAGUUUUACCGUGUGUAAAUUGGAGCACUUGAAGAGAUAUGGAAUCUGGCAUCACAUACUCGUAUGGAACUUGGUUUGUCUUGAUUUGAUAG
Molecule: long non-coding RNA, 399 nt
Organism: Empidonax traillii (willow flycatcher)
Lineage: Eukaryota; Metazoa; Chordata; Aves; Passeriformes; Tyrannidae
Exons: 3
Source: RefSeq, a predicted model, not a curated record